UUUUUCUUAAUGUUUAUAGCAAGCUUGUCUAACCCACAGCCCAUGGGCCACAUGCAGCCUAGACACCUUUGAAUGUGGCCUAACACAAUUUCGUAAACUUUCCUCAAACAUUAU
Molecule: long non-coding RNA, 114 nt
Organism: Sapajus apella (tufted capuchin)
Lineage: Eukaryota; Metazoa; Chordata; Mammalia; Primates; Cebidae
Exons: 3
Source: RefSeq, a predicted model, not a curated record